Long non-coding RNA from Setaria italica (foxtail millet), 202 nucleotides. RefSeq lists it as uncharacterized. Lineage: Eukaryota; Viridiplantae; Streptophyta; Magnoliopsida; Poales; Poaceae. The transcript is spliced from 3 exons. The record is from RefSeq and is a predicted model, not a curated record.
CACGAAUAUCAGAUCCCUGCAAAUUUGGACUGGUUUGGGUGGUGCACCUGGGAUGCAUUUUACAAGGCUGUUAACCCAGCAGGGAUCGAGGAGGGCCUUAAGAGAUGAUGGAAUUAGAGCUGAAGAAGCUAGAGGAAACCAUCAAAAAUAUACAUGAAGAAAUGUUUUAUCUCCGCGAAAGGGAGGAGGAAAUGCAGAACAG